RNAcentral lists this unclassified non-coding RNA (141 nucleotides) under uncultured Ascomycota. RNAcentral's name for it is "sequence contains ITS1". RNAcentral also lists the same sequence under 2 other names. Lineage: Eukaryota; Fungi; Ascomycota. The record is from RNAcentral.
CCGAGUACUAUAACUCAUAACCCUUUGUGAACCUUCAUACCUGUUGCUUCGGCGGCGCGCCUCCCGGGGCGUGCCCGCCGGCAUUAUCAGAAUCUCUGUUCGAACCCGACGAUACUUCUGAGUGUUCUAAGCGAACUGUUA